UAAAGAGGUCCCAAGCGUUGUUCGGAUUCACUGGGCGUAAAGGGUGCGUAGGUGGUAGGGUAAGUUUGAUGUGAAAGCUCCGAGCUCAACUCGGAAAUGGCAUUGAAUACUAUCCUGCUUGAGGGUUGGAGGGGGGACUGGAAUUCUCGGUGUAGCAGUGAAAUGCGUAGAUAUCGAGAGGAACACCGGUGGCGAAGGCGAGUCCCUGGACAACUCCUGACACUGAGGCACGAAAGCUAGGGGAGCAAACAGG
Molecule: ribosomal RNA, 253 nt
Filed under: uncultured bacterium
Lineage: Bacteria
Description: partial 16S ribosomal RNA
Rfam family: Bacterial small subunit ribosomal RNA
Source: RNAcentral